RNAcentral lists this ribosomal RNA (333 nucleotides) under Triticum aestivum (bread wheat). RNAcentral describes it as "partial small subunit ribosomal RNA". Lineage: Eukaryota; Viridiplantae; Streptophyta; Magnoliopsida; Poales; Poaceae. The record is from RNAcentral.
AUGAGCUGUUGUUGCUGCUGCUCCUCUUCUCUGCUGCUGCUGCUCUUCUUCAACGAGCUGCUGCUGCUGCUCUUCUCCUCCUGGUCUGCUGCUGCCAUCAAGCUGUGCCUCCUGCUGCUGCUGGUCUUCAACGAGCUAUUGCUGCUGCUCUGCUGCAAUGGCGCCCUCCACCACCACCGGUGUUGUCCCAAUCCCACUAUGUCCUGUUAUCUUCAACGGACAGAACUACAGGGACUGGGUGCAACACAUGAAGCUGCCCAUGAGGGGCCAGCUAGUCUGGGAGCACCUCUCUGGUGCUCUGCCUUGUCCCCUGCUGCCCACUCCUCCAGCUGA